AGUGCAGCUGAAGGGCUGGUUACUGAAGACACUCUAAAACAUCGUUAAAGGAGCCCUAAGCCUGCACUGGAAUCUGAGCCCGGAGAGGGGUUGUGGCUCAUGGGGGCGUCAGCAGGUGCUUCCCGCCCUGGGAUCCCCACUCUGAUAUCACCACUGUGCAAUGGCUGAGGGUCCUCCAAUGGGCCAUGCGUUCCCGCUGGGAGCAGGUCUCUGGCCGGCCAGAAGAUAAAGCCUGGGUCAGAGACAUUCGUCCUCUUGGAGCAUUUCAGGACCUCUUCCACAUUCAGAUAUGUGCCCACUUUUUAAUUCAUGGGGCCUGAUUUUCAGAGAUGUUGCGCACCCAUUGCAGCUCCCUUUGACUUUGACCAGGUAAGCAGAAUGAUCCAGUGGAUUUGACACUGGCCUGGAAAUCAGAAGACCUAGCUAUUACUGCAUGACCAUCCCCGCUCCCACAUCCAGCAGAAGAAUUGGCUACAUUACAUAUAACCAAGCACUCAAGCCGCAUAUAUCUGAGCUAUAACACAGGGGGACUCAGCCUGGCGUCAAUACUGAGUUUCACUGGAGUCCCCGUUGACAACAUUGACAGAGACAAUGUUCUGUCUGUAUAGAUGUAUAUGUCGCUGUAUGUAAUGUCUAUAAGAGGUAAUGUUGUAUGUUGGAUAAAACUGCUUUCAAGGGGGAAGAAUCAGAAUUGCUCAAACAGGUAUCAGAUAUUAGGUUUUUGGGGACUGGAACUCAGAUUUGUUAUACCCUGGAGCAUGAGGAUCUGGGCUCUCUGCCUCCUGUUGCCAUGUAGUUCUGAAUGGCUCAGCUGUACUGCACAGUGACAAAGAUGAAGGGCUAAGCGGCCAUGCUUUUCUUAUAAUACAAUUGGUCCCUUUGUCGAGUGCUGAUAUGGAGACAUCUAUGAGCAGAUUCAUACAGAUUAAAAGGGAAACUCUGAAAAAACUCGACACGAGUUCCCUAUUCUUAAGGGAGAGUUUUAUUACUGUGUUCCCUUAAUAAAUUAUGCAUUUCCAAUAUUAUUUGCUAUUCUGUUAUUAAACACUUGGUGUGUAUGUGUGUGCGGGGGGAUAAUAUGGGGAAAAUACAAUUUUAGCCACCAUUUACUUUUAGUAAGAAUAAAAAAGAGGAAAUGACUAGAUCUAGUAUUCAAGAACAUGUCUGUAGUGUUCUCUUUCUGCUAACUGCUGAGCCUCACAAUCCAUAGCAAGGUAUUUGUGAGGACUUGUGUAUGUUGAUAUGUACAGACAUUAUCAAAUUUGACCAUAGAAGUCGGCCAUUCUGUACAUCUUAAUAAAGCUGUUUGUCAUGGGGGAAAUAUUGAGGUGGUGGUGUAAUCAUGACCUUUUCAUGGAGAAAAGGUCUAAAAGUCAUCACAUUUGCUUUAAAAAUAGUUUUCAUUUACAUAAACUUUAUCGUCACUUAGAAAAAUCAGAGUAAAUGUGUACUGUUUCUUUAAAUCUAUUGCAGGCAUUCAGACUGAAGAUGUCUGGGGAAGUUUUCUAAUGAAACAGAGAUAAACAGUAGCUUUAGGCAUAAUGCUGCAUUCAUUAUUUAAAUGAAGUUCCUUGUUUAGAGUUUGUGACCCUUUUAUGUAAUUCUUUAUCAUCACA
Mauremys reevesii (Reeves's turtle) is the source of this 1616-nucleotide long non-coding RNA. RefSeq lists it as uncharacterized. NCBI's taxonomy places the organism in Eukaryota, Metazoa, Chordata, Testudines, Geoemydidae. The record is from RefSeq and is a predicted model, not a curated record. The transcript is spliced from 3 exons.